This 415-nucleotide ribosomal RNA is filed under the name bacterium enrichment culture clone ALO1_GLFRUDD03GZA6E. Its description in RNAcentral is "bacterial SSU rRNA". It matches the Rfam family "Bacterial small subunit ribosomal RNA", at positions 9 to 428 of the family's 1533-position model. The record is from RNAcentral.
GAGUUUGAUCGUGGCUCAGAUUGAACGCUGGCGGCAUGCCUUACACAUGCAAGUCGAACGGCAGCACGGGAGCUUGCUCCUGGUGGCGAGUGGCGAACGGGUGAGUAAUGCAUCGGAACGUAUCCUGGAGUGGGGAUAACGUAGCGAAAGUUACGCUAAUACCGCAUAUUCUGUGAGCAGGAAAGCGGGGGACCUUCGGGCCUCGCGCUCUUGGAGCGGCCGAUGUCGGAUUAGCUAGUUGGUGAGGUAAAGGGCUCACCAAGGCGACGAUCCGUAGCAGGUCUGAGAGGAUGAUCUGGCCACACUGGAACUGAGACACGGUCCAGACUCCUACGGGAGCAGCAGUGGGGAAUUUUGGACAAUGGGGGCAACCCUGAUCCAGCCAUGCCGCGUGAGUGAAGAAGGCCUGGUGUAA